UUACGGCCGCAAAGCUGAAACUUAAAGGAAUUGACGGAAGGGCACCAUCAGGUCUGGAUUGUGCGGCUCAAUUGGAUUCAACGCCCGAAACCCCACCAGGACAGGAGCGCUCGAUGAAGCACCGGCCGAAUACCUCUGCCGAUGAGCGUGCAGUUGGUGCAUGGCCGCCGUAGUUCGUGAGGUGACUUGUCUGGUUUAUUCCGACAACGAACGCAACCACAAUGCUCUACUAUCCGGCGAGCCCCUCGCGGGUCCGCAAGAAACUGGAGCAGACCAAUCGCUCGACGGGCUCAGCCCAAGGCGAAGGAAGCUAUGGCGAUGGCAGGUCUGUGAUGCCGCUAGAUGCCCUGGAUCGCACGCGCAAUACAAUGGCGACCCAAGCGCGCAGGUUCGUCCGAGAGGACUUACAAAUCGCACGAAAAGUCGGC
This 428-nucleotide ribosomal RNA is filed under the name uncultured Paramyxa. RNAcentral's name for it is "bacterial SSU rRNA". It matches the Rfam family "Eukaryotic small subunit ribosomal RNA", at positions 1123 to 1566 of the family's 1831-position model. Lineage: Eukaryota; Endomyxa; Ascetosporea. The record is from RNAcentral.